Molecule: long non-coding RNA, 6633 nt
Organism: Oreochromis aureus
Lineage: Eukaryota; Metazoa; Chordata; Actinopteri; Cichliformes; Cichlidae
Source: Ensembl
GGCAACUUUUCUGAUGAGUGCAAUCUAAAAUUUCUUCAGAAGUCAAUGUGCCACAUCAACCAACUUUUUUCAACUAGCCAACCUUUCUCCUACAUCAAACGCUGCCCGUGGCUGUGGAAUGGUGGCAGUCGUAAGAAGGGAAACCUGUUGGAGUUCUAAAUGUUACAUCUUAAAAGUUGUCUCUGCUUUCACGUUUUUCAGCUCAAUCUCCCUGGCUCUGGCCAGCUCUGCCCCUAAACGCCUAAGUUCCAACUCCUCCUUCAGAUGAAACUCCCUUUCGCAUUUUUCUCUCUCCAGCUGGAGAUGAGCCAGAUGAACUCGUAGCCUAGCAUCCUGCUUUGAACCCAAAAAGAACUGUAUCGAGAGUGGCUCAAAAUGAGGCAGUGUCGUCGGCAGUGCCCUCAGGCAGUUCCUGAGCAACAGGCGUAGACACAGAUGGUGCUAUAGCUUGAUCUGGCAACAGGGGAACAUGCUGAGAUGCUACACCAUGCUCAGCCAACUCAACUGUUGAGACCCCAAUCUCGUUAAACAAUGCCAUCUCAUAUAUACACACGUAUACACACGUAUACACACACACACACACUUAUUUAUUUGCUAUCCAGCACUCAUUACUUCAGCUUAAACUUUUUGAUCACAAAUUUGUGAUCAUACUUGUGGAUCACAAUGACACAUAAUGAUUAGGCAUAUGAUUUACUAAUGUCUGGUUUUAGAGCUGUGAGCUAUGAGCUGUGAGCAAUGCAAAGUUUUUUCCUAACUUAAAAGUUUGAAAUAUGUAAGAUGUGUGGGUUCUUUGAAAAAAAUAGAAAUGACCUAAAUGCCUUAAGUAAAAUGUAGUGUUCUCAGGUGGUAACUGGUGUCUCACUACUGGCAACGGCUCUGCUCAUCACACUAUCCACCCAGGAAGAAGGAAGACAACAAUACACGAGCCGAGAAAAGAGAUGGACUAUGCCUGGUACAGAUACGCGUUUAACAGAACUGCAGAGAAAGACUGUUAUGUUUGCUCGCACAUGCCGAGCGUAUUAGCACAACCAUAUAUGGGAAACACCCUGAGAAUGACUUUUGUAAAGUGCACAACAACAUCAACAUCCUCAUCCAGGAAGAAGCGCUCAACUUUAACAAGUUUUAAAGAGACUGUUGAUUGUCGUUGGACUUUUCCUGAUUUUAUUUUUCUUUAUUUGAGUUAUUCCUUGUUUAAAGCCGUAAUUUCACAGAUGAUAAGUUUGUCACUCACAGCAUACGCAGAUGUACCAAAACCGAUGAAGAUCAUGAAGACUUCUUUUCCUAUUUGUUAGAUGAAGAUGAAGUGUAACUAAUGAUGUAGUAACUGAGAAUGUGAAAGACAAGUAGUUACUCACUGAUGAAUUGUACAUUUCAUUUCGUGAUCAACAGGAGGGAAUGUCAAAAGAGAAUAUUGUAUAAUGUGAUCAGCUAUAUGAAAUGUAUCUUUUUAUUUUAUCAUUAAGCACAUGUCUAUGUGACUUUUCACCUAGUAACUUUUGACAUGAACUCUUCUGUGAUAAACAACUUGCAGCUUCCUCUUUCUGGUUUGGAAGAUACAGACUUAGAAAAGGGGAACCUCAGCUCUGAGUUCUGAGAAUAACUCUGUUAUCUUUAUACACACACACACACACACACACACACACACACACACACACACACACACACACACACACACACACACACACACACACACACACACACACACACACACACACACACACACACACACACACACACACACACACACACACACACACACACACACACACACACACACACACACACACACACACACAAAAAAAAUAUAUUUUUUGGCAUUUUGCCUUUAUUGGGUAGCGAUAGUGAAGACAGACAGGAAAGCGGAUAGAAGACAUGGAAGGAAGACAUGCAGCAAAGGGCCACAGGUCGGACUGACUGUAACUGGUGCGUUUCUUAAUUGCUUUUGUUUUAGAUCAGGGUUCCCAGUGUGCAGUUUGCCAAGCAAGUGCUGCAACAAUUAAAAACAAAAAACAACAAAAAUAAUACAUUCCCAUAAAGGGAGUCAUCAACCAUAGAAAAUAAUCACGUUUAAUCACAGAAUGUUUUGAUUGUUUAGAAACCUACCUACUGAUUGUGUACUUCAAAAAUAAGAAUAGGAGAUUAGCGUUCUGUGUAAUUUCAUUAUUAUUAACGUAUGUUUUUCUAGUUAAGAUUUCUCAGCCAUUUCAAUUGGUUGGAAUGGACCUUCUUGGGAAACUUAGAAACCAAAAGGGGACAUCAGUACAUUUGUGUUUUCAUUGGCUACUUCAAAAUACCAACACGGAUCCCCACUGAAGUCUAAAUCAGCAAAGGAAGUGACAAACUGAUCAAAUUUGUCCAUCAGUUUGAAGCACCUAACAGGGUUCUUAGUGAGCAAGGAAAAGAAUUUGUCAAUUCAGUAAGUACUUCAGUCUUUGGCAAAAAUUGUUAUUGGCAUGUAACACUUUAAAAAAAAUUAUAUACGUCUUUAAGCUUCUACUUCUGGUUUUUAUAAAUCUGUUUGAUAUUUUUAUGACUGCUGUAUAUUUCAAAUCUUCUUGUAAUGUACUUAGUCAGUAUAUUUGACUUGCUGUUGCAGCUCAAAAGGUUAUGCAGAAUGUUACACAGAAGAAACCUCUGCUCCCCAUAUCACCCACAAACAAAUGGCUCAGUAGAGAGAAUGAAUGGCACCAUCCAGAGAGCCCUCUGUAAGGUUGUUGGUGACCAUCCAGAAACAUGGGAUGACUAUCUGGAUGUUGUGAUGUUUGGUCUCAGAACAAAAAAGCAAAUGACCACUGAAAUACUCACCCCAUUACCUGAUUUUUGGCAGAGAGGCUCGUUAUCCAUAUGAAAUCCCAGAACAUUACAUGGUCUUUCUGUCUGUGACAGACUACAGGAAAAUCCUACGCAAAGCACCUUAGUAAGUUUUUGAUGCACAGGCAGAACAGUUUGAAUGCAUGCUACAUCACCACCUUAAAAGCAACAAUAGUAUCAGAUCCAGGGGUCAGAAGCUACAGCAAAGGAAGAAAACGCCACCAGAACCAGCACGCGCUGCAGGUCCACAAGCCAAAUCACAAACAGCAGCAGACCCAGCCUCACAGACCACAGCAGCAGACCUCGAUCCAAAAGCUACAACUCCACCAGCAACUACUCCCCAGGUUGUAGCACCACCAGCAUCAACUACUCCUAAGUAAUCUACAGCACAAACUGUAGAAGCAACAGUACUACCAGUGACAGCAGCAACAGCCUUACAAGCUACCCCCUGCACCACCUCCAGCAUCAUCACCUCAAAGAUAUACUCAAGCUGUUGCAGAGAAAUGUAAAAAAAGAAAAAGAAAAUAACAAUUUUGUGAUUUGCUUAAAAAGCCCUUUAUUCCUAUGAUACUCUGUUACAUUACUCUUUAGAUCAUGGCACAGGAUAUUUUACACAAUUUCCCUGUUGGUUUAGGUAUAUUAUUCAAAAGACUUAAAAUUCAAUACUCUGUUAAUGCAUUUUCAAAAAAUAUACCUUCAUCAAGCAAGGCUGUAACUCACAUGUGUCACGUGACAUAAAUAAUUGAUUCUUUCAACAACAACAACAAAAACAACAACAAAAAAAAAGAGUCAUAUUUCUUUGUUAUUGUGUAAACCAGAAUGUUCAGAAUUGACAUUGUACUUAUAAUGUACACUACCAGUUAAAAGUUUGGACACCUUCCCAUUCAAAGUUCUGUUUUCAUGGCUACUUGCAUUGUAGAUUCUCACUGAAGGCAUCAAAACUAUGAACGAACCCAUAUGGAACCCUAACCUGAUCAUAUAGUAAAGAAAAAAGUAUAAAAUAAAAAGAGGUUUUGUGUCUUAGUCUUCAAAAUAGCCACCCUUUGCUUUGCACACCCUUUGCCUUCUCAGUAAGCUUCAUAAAGUAGUCACCUGAAAUGGUUGUCACUGCACAGGUGACACACAAAGCAGAGGUGACUCUUGGCCUUCCUUUCCUGGGAUGGGCCUCAUGUGAGCCAGUUUCAUUGUAGCGCUUGAUGGUUUUUGCAACUACAGUUUGGUUGUCUUUGGGGAUCAGGACCGUCUGGGUAGUGAUGUGUCCUGUGUGUCGAAGCUUCAAAGCGUGUCGGGUAAUCUCGGGGGAGUUUUUGUGAAGUGUGUACAGAGGCUUGCUUUGAUUACGUAUGCAGUGACGUUCGAGGCCUCGCGGGCAGCCCGUACCACAUGACUGAUUCAGGAACUGGCUCGCCAGUUUCCAAAUAAAAUGGGUAACAAAACACAGCUGAUUCCCCCAUCACAUUGUUUUGUGGAAUUGGAUUACGUACAUGUUACAUAGUUACUCGAGCAUUUCUUCUUCGAUGGAACCAGCAAGGAAGAGAAGAUUUCCCCUGUCUGGCAACACUGAUCUCAUCUCUCCUAAUAAGGUAUGCACACAGUAAUAAAUAUCACAAAUGAUAAGUACCAUAAUAUAAAUAAACCACACCACAGAUCCUAUAAUCUGAUUUCUGUCUUUUGGUUUAUUGAAAGGUGAAGUGUUUGUUGUGCUCCAAAGAACUUGGAUACAGCAACAACACCUCAACUAUGCUGAGGCAUUACAGAGCCCUGUGUGAAAACAAGGAGACUAUCCAAGGUGGACCAAGCUCAGGUAAGUUUUUUUUAGGUUGCAAGGAUACAGUCAUUUGAUACAUUUACAUUCCCCAUGUCAUUCAUUUAUAUUUGGGUUGUAAUUACUGCUAUAUGUAAUUUCUUAAUGUUUUGUUUGUUUUAUCAGGGGAGAGGAAUGAUAUGGAUGAGGCAUUGGUCAACAUGGUGAUAGAUUCCCAGCCCUUCACUAUUGUGGAGGACAGUGGGUUUAGAAAGCUUGUUAAAGCUUUGAACCUUAACUGUUCUCCCCACAAGGCAGGUGUGUAUCUUAAAAAUAUGAAGCAUGUUUCCAGUUUGCCUAUAUUUCCAUAUUAAUAGCGGUACUUUCUUUUGUUUAGGCUUUGAAAGCUAUGGUGGACCAAAGAUACAAAGAGUCCAAACAAAAAGAAAAACUGACUGUGGCAAAGGCUUCUGUAGUUAGUUUGACAUCUGAUAUGUGGACCUCCAUUAACACAGAGGGUUUCCUAGCUGUCACCUGCCAUGUCAUUGAUUCUAACACUGCAUUGCAUUCUGUAGUGUUAGGUGUUCAGCACUUCCCUAAAGCACAUACUGCUAUCAAUUUGUCCCAAGUAACAGCAGCGCUCAUGUCAGAGUGGGGAAUUACAGACAAAGUUACAUGUUAUGUGACUGAUGGAGCAGCAAACAUGGGUGCUUGUGCAAAGGAGCUUUGUUUGCAUCACAGUAAUUGUGUGGCGCAUACAUUGAACCUAAUGGUCAAAAAAAGCUCUUGAUCAACACACCGCGCUGUCUGAGAUCCAGACCACCUGUAGGAGGACCGUGGGAUAUUUCAAGAGCAGUGCAACUGCUAAGGAGAGGCUGACAGAGGUGCAAGAGCAAAUGGGCCGGCCUCCACUGAAGUUAAUUCAAGAGGUGGAUACAUGUUGGAACAGCACAUUCCAAAUGCUUCAAUGUAUUCAUGAGCUCAGGGAACCUAUUGGAGCAUCGUUAGCUGGCCUGCACACUGAUAUUUGCCCACUAUCCUCUGAACAGUAUGACCUUAUGGCAGAAUGUCUCAAAAUGCUCUCCCCAUUUAAUGAUGCCACCACUGAGCUGUCAGAGGAAAAGAGUGUCUGAAUCCAAAGUAAUUCCACUUCUAACCAUGUUGCACCAUGCACUAAAUUAAGAGGAAAUGGGAGUUGUCCUAACUCCAGAGAGGUCCACCAUGGUUGAGUGUCUGAGGAGACAAUUAAAGGAGAAGCUCUACAUGUUGCAGUCAAUGAGCAUCAUGUCACUGGCAACAUUGCUGGAUCCAAGGUUUAAAAAAAAAAAAAAAAAAAAAAAAAAAAAAAAGAGGCUUCUUUAGCCCCAAUAAAGCACUGGAUGCUGAGAGGAGACUCAUUUUUGAGUGUGCUGCUGCUUUGCAGCACUUGGCAGCCUCUCAGCCUGUGACUUAAGGUGUAUGAGCACAUUUUGAUUAUUUUAUUGUAUUUAGUUACUUACAUCCUGUUUGUUUUAAGCUAUGUCCACGCUAGCCCGGAUAGAUUUGAAAAAGGCGUUUGUCUGAAAACGCUCUGCGUCCACACUAGCCUCUUCAGUUGUUUUCAAAGAGUUGCGCGUCCACACUAAAACAGCCAAAAAAAACAAAAAAAACCUGACGUUGCAGUUCGUGAAACGCAAGACGACUCAACCUGCGUCAUUUCCCAUUUUCCGGCUCUUUUGGAUGACAUCACACGUCUGGAUUACCAGCUUCCAAGGCACCAAGAGUGUGCAUGUCAUCUAGGGCUGCCACAAACGAUUAUUUUGAUAGUCGACUAGUCACCGAUUAUUUUUGCGAUUAGUCGACUAAUCGGAUCAUGCAUCCAUUGGACGUAAAACGUACAGCUUAUUGCACCAGCAGCAUCUGCUCUUAUAUAACAUUAGCUUACAGUUUUAAGUGUUUAGGGUAUGUGCUAACUAAAAAUAAAGACAAGAUGAUAGUUUAUUAAAUUUAAUGAGAUUUACAGAUUGUUUCGGUAAAGUUUAAUAAACUCCUUGCUAUCUAAAAUAUAACGGGACACCGGAGUAUAUUCUCGAACAUCU